This 84-nucleotide ribosomal RNA is filed under the name Bacillus cereus. Its description in RNAcentral is "partial 16S ribosomal RNA". It matches the Rfam family "Bacterial small subunit ribosomal RNA", at positions 1 to 83 of the family's 1533-position model. Lineage: Bacteria; Bacillati; Bacillota; Bacilli; Caryophanales; Bacillaceae. The record is from RNAcentral.
UUUAUUGGAGAGUUUGAUCCUGGCUCAGGAUGAACGCUGGCGGCGUGCCUAAUACAUGCAAGUCGAGCGAAUGGAUUGAGAGCU